This is a long non-coding RNA of Papilio xuthus (Asian swallowtail), 642 nucleotides long. RefSeq lists it as uncharacterized. The record is from RefSeq and is a predicted model, not a curated record. NCBI's taxonomy places the organism in Eukaryota, Metazoa, Arthropoda, Insecta, Lepidoptera, Papilionidae. The transcript has 3 exons.
UGCGUGAGCUGCGGCCCGGGCGCCAGUCGCUCGCAACACGCGGCCGGCGCAGGUCGCGUUUAUUCGGUCGCGCUGCGCUAUCUACGCCGCCCGCCCUACGUCACGGUAUCGAGAUCGGGUGCACUCCCUCACACCCUGCAACAGUGCUGGCGCACUAGGCGGCCUGCACACAUGCACUUUUCAUUCAUCCCCGAAGCGGUCGAGACUCGCGAUCCCUCCGCGCUUGGUUCGGUCUUAUCAAUCGCCCGUGCGUCUUUAUGAGGCAGUGACCCUGAAGCUGAAGCGACUUGUGUAGUAUCGAAGUGAUCUACCCGAACUGAUUGUCGUCAAAUGAACAUUUGAAAACAAUAGCUCAUCUAACUGUAAAAUAAUGUAAAGUAGUAUAAUUUAACGUAAAUAGUGUGUUUGUUCAUUAAAAUACUUCAUUCUUAAAGUGCCUCAUUGUGAUUUAGUUUAAAUAUUUUUGGAACAAUUACUAUUUGGUGAUUAUCUGGUACUAGAUAGUGUGAACAAUUUUCAUCCGACGGUUUUGAAGAUUCCGCGAUGAUGUUUUGAAGUGAUGGGUGUGGAGCGUGGCGCGAGCGCGCUGCGCAUACGCGCCGUGGGUGCGAGCGAGCGCGAGGUGGCGUAGCCCGGCGCGGU